AACGCACAUUGCGCCCCUCGGUAUUCCGGGGGGCAUGCCUGUUCGAGCGUCAUUAACCCAAAUCAAGCCCCGGCUUGGAGAUUGGGCGGUCAGGCCGGAGGCCCCUCGGGGCGCCGGCCCGCCCCAAAGUCAUCGGCGAGGUGAUCGACCCCCGGCGUGUUAGCGUGUCCCCUCAAAAGGUACGACGUCGGGAGCACCGGUCCAGGCCUCGGCCGCGAAAGCACCAAAUCAUAACAAGGUUGACCUCGGAUCAGGUAGGAAUACCCGCUGAACUUAA
RNAcentral lists this unclassified non-coding RNA (277 nucleotides) under uncultured fungus. Its description in RNAcentral is "partial contains 5.8S ribosomal RNA, internal transcribed spacer 2, and large subunit ribosomal RNA". The stretch from base 1 to 52 matches the Rfam family "5.8S ribosomal RNA", at positions 103 to 154 of the family's 154-position model. Lineage: Eukaryota; Fungi. The record is from RNAcentral.